RNAcentral lists this ribosomal RNA (1419 nucleotides) under Triticum aestivum (bread wheat). RNAcentral describes it as "partial small subunit ribosomal RNA". The record is from RNAcentral. Lineage: Eukaryota; Viridiplantae; Streptophyta; Magnoliopsida; Poales; Poaceae.
UCUGUAGGUGACCAGUGCCUGAUGCGUUCUCCCAAGCAACCGGCGAAGCUCGCCAUGCUUUUACUGUUGGUAUUGCUAUUGUUCUGUAGUGGAGUUGGCAACGUCCAUUGCUCGACGAUCCACGAGAACAGGGUCGAUCUGCAGGCGCUGCUGGACUUCCAGCAGGGCAUCGCUAGCGACCCUCGAGGAGCCUUGAGUAACUGGAACACCACAACCCACUUCUGCCACUGGAAUGGUGUCGACUGCACCACCACACCACCACUCCGCGUCACAGAGCUCAACCUCAGCGGCUGGAACUUAGCAGGCCUAAUCACCUCCUCUCUUGGGAACCUAACUUUCCUCUCACAUCUUGACCUCUCAGGGAAUAACUUCGUUGGCCCCUUACCUGUCAUUGGGCAUCUCCAACAACUGGUCACAUUAGAUCUCUCCCAUAACAAGCUAGUGGGUCAAAUUCCUCCGAACCUAGGAUUUCUUUUAAAUAUGACUUACUUAGGUCUCUCCCAUAACAUGCUAGUGGGUCAAAUUCCUCCGAAUUUAGGCUUUCUUUCAAAAUUAGGAUACAUCGAUUUGAGAUCAAACAAACUGGAGGGCAGCAUUCCUAAUGAGCUUGGGCAAUUGUUAAGCUUACAAAUAUUACUCCUGGGAGACAAUUAUCUUUCAGGUGACUUCCCGCAUUCCAUAUUGAAUCUUGCUGCUUCUCUCCAAUAUCUAAGCUUGGAGGUGAAUAUGCUAGGCAAUGUAUUGCCACCUAAUAUAGGUGACCUUUGGGGUCUCAUAGAGCUUACCAUGAGUGACAACAUGUUUGAAGGGCACAUCCCAGCUUCCCUAGGCAACGCCACAGGAUUAGAAGUGAUAUAUUUAUCACUUAACAAUUUCACUGGGCAAAUUCCUAACAUAUUUGGAAAGCUUCCAAAUCUGACUAGUCUAAACCUUCAGUCUAACCAGCUUGAAACAAGGGACUGGGAAUUCAUAAAUGCAUUGGCGAACUGUCAUUCUCUAAAAUCACUCGGAUUGGCUUACAACCAGCUGCGGGAAUCUAUACCACAGUCUGUUGGUAACCUAUCCAACAAACUAGAAAAACUUUUCUUGACUGAAAAUAGCUUAUCAGGACAAGUACCCCAUAGCAUAGGAAACCUUAGUGCAUUAAAUCAACUGGCACUAGGUACAAACAACUUAAGUGGCACAAUAGAAAGAUGGCUUGGAAACCUAAAAGGCCUUCAAUUAUUAAAUCUUCGCUCAAACCGCUUCACUGGCCAAAUCCCACCCUCUAUUAGCAAACUUACUCGGUUGAUAAACCUUUAUCUGGAUGAUAAUGAAUUUGAGGGCCUCAUACCGCCCAGCCUGGGAAACCUCCCACUCGUACGGCUAGUCCUUAGCUCUAACAACCUUGAGGGCUACUCCCUCCUUUUCAGUUUAUAG